GCCAGUGUGGCUUAGUGGUUUGAGCAUUUGACUUCAACUGGAGACCAGGGUUCAAAUCCCCACUCAGCCA
Molecule: non-coding RNA, 70 nt
Organism: Phrynosoma platyrhinos (Desert horned lizard)
Lineage: Eukaryota; Metazoa; Chordata; Lepidosauria; Squamata; Phrynosomatidae
Source: the annotation of a GenBank genome assembly